Molecule: small RNA, 580 nt
Filed under: Pan troglodytes (chimpanzee)
Lineage: Eukaryota; Metazoa; Chordata; Mammalia; Primates; Hominidae
Description: retained intron
Source: RNAcentral
CUCAGAGAGCAAGCCCCUUUGUUUGGUCCCUAGGACCAAGGCCUUUUCUGUACAUACUGACAGCCUCUGCCCAGUGUGCCUGAAACACCCAGGUCCCUAGCAGAAGGAGCCCCAAGAGAUGAGCUUGCAAGGCUUCCCUCUCAUCCCAAGCUCUGGGGCAGACCUCCGAGUCACAGAGCUGCAUUCUAGCAGCUUUUCAUAGUCUCUGGUGCCAGCCUGGGGUGGAGUGGUCUCCCAGCAUGACAGCUGUCAUUCUCCCGUACCAAUGAGACCUCUUCUGCCCCUGCUUGCAGCGGGAAGCAAUCAAUUGCCAUUGAUGACUGCACCUUCCACCAGUGUGUGCGACUCAGCAAGUUUGACUCUGAACGCAGCAUCAGCUUUAUCCCGCCAGAUGGAGAGUUUGAGCUUAUGAGGUAUCGCACAACCAAGGACAUCAUCCUUCCCUUCCGGGUGAUCCCGCUAGUGCGAGAAGUGGGACGCACCAAACUGGAGGUCAAGGUGGUCAUCAAGUCCAACUUUAAACCCUCACUGCUGGCUCAGAAGAUUGAGGUGAGGAUCCCAACCCCACUGAACACAAGCG